Molecule: ribosomal RNA, 253 nt
Filed under: uncultured bacterium
Lineage: Bacteria
Description: partial 16S ribosomal RNA
Rfam family: Bacterial small subunit ribosomal RNA
Source: RNAcentral
UACGUAGGGGGCUAGCGUUGUCCGGAAUCAUUGGGCGUAAAGAGCGUGUAGGCGGCCCGGUAAGUCCGCUGUGAAAGUCGGGGGCUCAACCCUCGAAUGCCGGUGGAUACUGUCGGGCUAGAGUGCGGAAGAGGCGAGUGGAAUUCCUGGUGUAGCGGUGAAAUGCGCAGAUAUCAGGAGGAACACCGGUGGCGAAGGCGGCUCUCUGGGACGGUACUGACGCUGAGACGCGAAAGCGUGGGGAGCGAACAGG